UCCCUCAUGGUACUUGUUUGCUAUCGGUUUCACACUAAUAAGUAGCCUUGGGUGAAAAUUACCACCAGCUUUGCGUUCCACUUCCAAGGAACGUGACUCGUAAAACGCAUCCCGUAUACAAAGAACCACACAACUCAGACAGGCAUGUCACCUUCCUCGAAAUCCUUUUCCAAAACAUCUACAUGUGCACCUUUGCUGGAAUAGCAUCUGAAGAAAACAAUUCAAGGUCAUCAACCUUAAUUUCCACUCUAGGCUUAUUCCUGUUCAUUCGCCAUUACUUAAGAAUUCCCAUUUGGUUUCAGAUCCUCCACUCACUUAUAUGCUUAAAUUCAGCAGGUUGCUUUGCUUGAUGUCAUGUUCAUGCGCUUCACAAAAGCAGUCCACAUCAUGUUCACAGCAAUGCAGGUAGCAAGCUCCAAGCACUGCGGCAACAAAGCUUGAUGCAUCAAACAAUAUGGCUUGAUGCACAGUCAUCUUGCUCAAAUAGAAAACAAUAAAAAUGUGAAAACACUGACACAAGCAUGCCCUCAGGAAUGCCCCAAGGGCACUUCUGCGUUCAAUGGUCAAUUGGUUCACGGAAUUCUG
RNAcentral lists this unclassified non-coding RNA (585 nucleotides) under uncultured eukaryote. RNAcentral describes it as "partial contains 5.8S rRNA and ITS2". The record is from RNAcentral.